CCUACGGGUGGCAGCAGUCGAGAAUCAUUCACAAUGGGGGAAACCCUGAUGGUGCGACGCCGCGUGGGGGAAUGAAGGUCUUCGGAUUGUAAACCCCUGUCAUGUGGGAGCAAAUUAAAAAGAUAGUACCACAAGAGGAAGAGACGGCUAACUCUGUGCCAGCAGCCGCGGUAAUACAGAGGUCUCAAGCGUUGUUCGGAAUCACUGGGCGUAAAGCGUGCGUAGGCUGUUUAGUAAGUCGUGUGUGAAAGGCGCGGGCUCAACCCGCGGACGGCACAUGAUACUGCGAGACUAGAGUAGUGGAGGGGGAGCCGGAAUUCGCGGUGUAGCAGUGAAAUGCGUAGAUAUCGAGAAGAACACUCGUGGCGAAGGCGGGUUCCUGGACAUUAACUGACGCUGAGGCACGAAGGCCAGGGGAGCGAAAGGGAUUAGAUACCCGAGUAGUC
This 446-nucleotide ribosomal RNA is filed under the name uncultured bacterium. Its description in RNAcentral is "partial 16S ribosomal RNA". It matches the Rfam family "Bacterial small subunit ribosomal RNA", at positions 338 to 795 of the family's 1533-position model. The record is from RNAcentral.